GUACACGCUGUGACUAGCAUAUCAAUAAGCGGAGGAAAAGAAACUAACAAGGAUUCCCCUAGUAACGGCGAGUGAAGCGGGAAGAGCUCAAAUUUGAAAUCUUAAAGGGUUUCCCUUUACGAAUUGUAGUUUAAAGAAGUGUUUUCUGUUGAGGUUUUGGUAAAAGUUCUUUGGAAUAGGACAUCAUAGAGGGUGAGAAUCCCGUAUUUGACCUUUACUUUCAACUUUGUGAUACACUUUCAAAGAGUCGGAUUGUUUGGGAAUGCAGUCCAAAAUGGGUGGUAAAUUUCAUCUAAAGCUAAAUAUUGGCGAGAGACCGAUAGCGAACAAGUACCGUGAGGGAAAGAUGAAAAGAACUUUUGAAAAGAGAGUUAAACAGUACGUGAAAUUGUCAAAAGGGAAGCGUUUGACACCAGUGUUGUUUUUCUGAAAAUCAAUUAAAGAACUGUUUAUGCUAAGCUGUUUAGACUUUAUCAGCUAUCUGUUUAGUUUUGAGCUUUUCUUUAAUGCACUUUUCAGUUAACAAGUCAACAUCAAUUUCUUUUGCUGUAAAAAAGCUUGAGGAAGGUGGCUUGAGAUUCGUCUUAAGUGUUUAUAGCCUCUUGCCUAUGCAGUCGGAGAGAUUGAGGUCUGCAGCGUAGAUCCUUCGGGGCUAAAUGCAUUUGUGCUAAGUUAUAGCAUUUUAUAGACAACUUGUUGACUAUGAUUUGUCUUGUAGCUUACUCGCUUAUGUUAUUGUACCUACGCUUAGGAUGUUGACGCGCGUGUGUGCGUG
This 775-nucleotide ribosomal RNA is filed under the name uncultured Neocallimastigales. RNAcentral describes it as "partial large subunit ribosomal RNA". It matches the Rfam family "Eukaryotic large subunit ribosomal RNA", at positions 22 to 639 of the family's 3401-position model. Lineage: Eukaryota; Fungi; Neocallimastigomycota; Neocallimastigomycetes; Neocallimastigales. The record is from RNAcentral.